RNAcentral lists this ribosomal RNA (346 nucleotides) under Hoplobatrachus occipitalis (groove-crowned bullfrog). RNAcentral describes it as "partial 12S ribosomal RNA". It matches the Rfam family "Bacterial small subunit ribosomal RNA", at positions 870 to 1383 of the family's 1533-position model. The record is from RNAcentral. Lineage: Eukaryota; Metazoa; Chordata; Amphibia; Anura; Dicroglossidae.
CGCCAGGGAAUUACGAGCUUUAGCUUAAAACCCAAAGGACUUGACGGUGCCCCACCCAGCUAGAGGAGCCUGUUCUAUAAUCGAUGAUCCCCGCUUAACCUAACCCUUUCUUGCUUUAUCAGCCUGUAUACCUCCGUCGUAAACCCGCCAUAUGAAUGUUUUAGCGGAUUCAAUGGCCUUAGCCACCAGCACGUCAGGUCAAGGUGCAGCCAAUGAAAGGGGUAAGCAAUGGGCUACAAUUUCUAAUCUAGAACAUACGAACUACUGCAUGAAAACACAGUCAUGAAGGAGGAUUUAGUAGUAAAAAGAAAUCAGCGAGUUCUUUUUAACAUGGCCCUGGGGCGUG